Molecule: ribosomal RNA, 253 nt
Filed under: uncultured bacterium
Lineage: Bacteria
Description: partial 16S ribosomal RNA
Rfam family: Bacterial small subunit ribosomal RNA
Source: RNAcentral
UACGUAGGGUGCAAGCGUUAAUCGGAAUUACUGGGCGUAAAGCGUGCGCAGGCGGUUAUGUAAGACAGAUGUGAAAUGCCCGGGCUUAACCUGGGAACUGCAUUUGUGACUGCAUGGCUAGAAUCUGGCAGAGGGGGGUGGAAUUCCGCGUGUAGCAGUGAAAUGCGUAGAGAUGCGGAGGAACACCGAUGGCGAAGGCAGCCCCCUGGGUCAAGAUUGACGCUCAUGCACGAAAGGCGUGGGGAGCAAACGA